This 1078-nucleotide long non-coding RNA is filed under the name Fukomys damarensis (Damara mole-rat). Its description in RNAcentral is "lncRNA (ENSFDAG00000024878.1)". Lineage: Eukaryota; Metazoa; Chordata; Mammalia; Rodentia; Bathyergidae. The record is from RNAcentral.
UGUCUCUAUUUGUCCCCCUAGAGCUUCAUGGCUCUUGGGCCUGGCUUUGGAAGGUGACUGGACUGUGAGGGUGUUAUAGCUGACUUUCUGUUAGGAGGCAGGGCUAGUUGGAAGAGACAACUGAGAGUGUGAUCCAGAGGGUCUUUCUUCCUCCCUACCUCAUUCCUUCCCUCUCCAAUUCCUGGCUGCUACGAGGUGUCGACCAUACCUUUCUGUAUUGGAGUGGGGCAACUUGUGCCAAAAUAAACUUCUCCUUUAAAUUGUGGGUGUCAGGUAUUUUGUCCUGGUGACUGGGUGUGAGAGAAAAUUCAAGCAUGGCUGAGCCAAGUGCGCCACAUGCACAUCUCCUACCAGAAUAGGGGAUACUCAGAAGUCUGAGCAUGCUCACUCUCAUGCAUUGCGACUGGUUUAGAGCUGGCUGAAGGACAUCCUGUUCCUCCUAUCCACUGUCUCCAUUGCUAGCCCAAAAGAUCAACCAAUCUUGUUAUGCCCUGUAUGCAGUGUCCCACCCCUUGUUCCUAGACUAUAUAAGAGCUUGCUCUGCCUAUCAAAAAUGGAAGCGUUGCAGAAACCUCGCUGGAGUCGGCUUGGUGGUUCUGCGCCUCACCCUCCCUAUCUGAGCUUCAGAACCAGAGCACAAACAGACAAACAACAAGUGUUGCCCAAAUUGGGGCUCCUGUAUAUCAGGAACAUACUGAAGCGUCGGGUGAGAACUCAGAUGCUCAGAGAAGGUAAAAAGUUUUUCUAAGUCUCCAAAACCAUGACUGUGACCUGAUGUUGUCUACUGUGAUUUCUACGUAGUCUGAUGAUCAACUUUACCCAUGCUGACCCCAAUACAGAACUCCUUGAAAUCAUUGGAAACAGAUUGACCUUACCUGUUUCUUGGAUUGUUGAUAAAAGAUAUGGAAUGAAACUUGCCCUCCAUUCCUGGAAGAUGCCUUUGCCACUGACUGUCACCAGAGGAAGAAGUGAAAGGGUACUCCUACCCCUCUUUCCCUCAAAACUUGAAAAGGUAAGAAUGAAGACUUCUACAGUGUUAAAUAUUUUGGCAUAACAAAUGUGGACAAAAGACGGAAAC